This is a non-coding RNA of Paramuricea clavata, 414 nucleotides long. The record is from the annotation of a GenBank genome assembly. Lineage: Eukaryota; Metazoa; Cnidaria; Anthozoa; Malacalcyonacea; Plexauridae.
UUCUUGCAGAUAUAUUCUAUUCAUCAGGUUUGACUCAUGAUUUAUACGCACAACAAGUGUACAAAAAUGUAAACCACUUAAAGAAUGUCUGUCAGUCAGUAUUAUGUACAGAUAUCGAGACAAAUCCUGGACCUGUAUUCUAUAUUGAUCCCAGCAAGACAAUCAGUGCACCAUAUAGCCAAGGUAAUCAGAUUAUAUUUGGAGAAACAGCAGGACAGCAGUGUUUAGCAAUGUGUUUAUGUGCCCUUAUAUACAACAAAAGGCAGAACAUUUUAUCGCCACAAGACCUGGUUAAUAUAAUGAAUAUUGGUAAUGAACUAUAUUCAAACUUAUCAUGUUUAGCACAGCAAUCAUUUUUAUUGUUUACAGAAUUGCCUUCACAACUUACAGUAUUUGACACAGAUUUUGUUUUAG